RNAcentral lists this long non-coding RNA (1231 nucleotides) under Eucalyptus grandis. RNAcentral describes it as "long non-coding RNA (EGRA_LNC004907)". Lineage: Eukaryota; Viridiplantae; Streptophyta; Magnoliopsida; Myrtales; Myrtaceae. The record is from RNAcentral.
GCCCGACUCGGAUUUUUCAUCUUUUUCUUUUUUUUUUAUUUUAUUAAAACGACGCCGUGGCCAGGCGUUUGGGGACGCCCGGCCUGGCCCGACAACCCAGAUCCAUUGACCCGCUCCGCGACCCGGCUCCCUGCGAACCCUACCCGACCCGGAUCCGAAUCGCGACCCGACUCCCGCCACCCCCCGAAUCUCGCGAAACCCUACCCGGUUCCGAGACCCGGAUCCGACUUGGCGACCCAGAAAAUCGCAAACCCUAGGGUUUGCGAAUCCGCGGCGCCGAAGGGGGGACCGAGGUGCUUGGCAGCGACGGCGACUACGGCGGUGACGACGAAGGCGACAACGGCGACGGCAACGCUAAUGGCGGCGCUCUUUUUUUUUUUUACCUUCUCUCGAACGGGGACGGCGACGGCAACAAUGCCAGAUCGAAGGCAGCAGUGGCGGAGGCGCUCGGCAGCACGGCGGGGUUUUGCAUAGCAGCGGCGUCGGGGGGUGUGACGGGGACGGCACGGCUCAAUGAUUGCGACGGAACCCUGCUCUUCGAAGUUCACUCAGAUUUGGACGACGUCGGGGAAAGCGGCGGCGGCGAGGCGUGAGGACGGCGGCACGGCAAGAUCUGGGGCAGUAGCGGCGUCGGGGCGGGGAACAGCAACGACAGAGCAGCGGUCGUAGGUGGCGGAGAGCUUCUGGCUUCCCAGAUUUGGCCCUCCCUCCUCCGGCUGACCUCGUUCAGCCCUUAUUUCACAGAUCCAGGUGCUCGGAUCUACCUUCCUCGGGCUCGAUCUUCUCUCACUCAGGCCAGAUCCGAGCCUCCACCGGCCGGAUCUGACCUUCUCGAAGUCGCUUGCGGCCGGCCUUCCCCGAAGUCUCUCAGUGGAAGGUGGGCUGAGCUCGCGACUCGAGUUCUCUCCCGCGCUCGCCCUUCAAUCCUUCUCGAUGUCUCUCAGUGAAGGAUCUCCGAGCUCACCCGUGCCAUUCUUCAACGAAGGUGGUGCCCUUUUAUAGGCGAGGGAAUCUGGUCGACGGAGCUUCGACCGCCGGUCCCCUUCGUGCGCCGAGCGGUUCUCCUCGGCUGAACCGGCGUCCCAUCCGAGCUCAUCCAGCGAAGCAUGCUCGGCAUUGAUGGCGUUCGCGAUCUUAUCUUCUCCGGCCGACGUUGGCCUACUCCCCUCGGCCAUAGGCCGUCCUUUGCACGCGUCGUCGUCUUCUGCGCGUGAACUACAGAGGCAGAGAA